This 301-nucleotide ribosomal RNA is filed under the name uncultured bacterium. Its description in RNAcentral is "partial 16S ribosomal RNA". It matches the Rfam family "Bacterial small subunit ribosomal RNA", at positions 509 to 807 of the family's 1533-position model. The record is from RNAcentral.
CAGUCGCCGCGGUAAUACGUAGGCAGCGAGCGUUGUUCGGAAUUACUGGGCGUAAAGAGUGUGUAGGCGGUGCUCUAAGUUCGGUGUGAAAUCUCCUGGCUUAACUGGGAGGGUGCGCCGGAAACUGGAAUGCUCGAGCGUGGGAGAGGAAAGCGGAAUUCCUGGUGUAGCGGUGAAAUGCGUAGAUAUUAGGAGGAACACCUGUGGUGUAGACGGCUUUCUGGACCAUUGCUGACGCUGAGACACGAAAGCGUGGGUAGCAAACAGGAUUAGAUACCCCCGUAGUCCCUGUCUCUUAUAC